Protopterus annectens (West African lungfish) is the source of this 103-nucleotide small nuclear RNA. Lineage: Eukaryota; Metazoa; Chordata; Ceratodontiformes; Protopteridae. The record is from RefSeq and is a predicted model, not a curated record.
GAUUGCCUUGGCAAAUCAUAUACUAAAAUUGGAACAAAACAGAGAAGAUUAGCAUUGCCGCUGUGCAAGGAUGACACAGGUUUGUGAAGCAUCCCUCACUAGA